UACGAAGGGGGCUAGCGUUGUUCGGAAUCACUGGGCGUAAAGCGCACGUAGGCGGAUCUUUAAGUCAGGGGUGAAAUCCCGAGGCUCAACCUCGGAACUGCCUUUGAUACUGGGGAUCUCGAGUCCGGGAGAGGUGAGUGGAACUGCGAGUGUAGAGGUGAAAUUCGUAGAUAUUCGCAAGAACACCAGUGGCGAAGGCGGCUCACUGGCCCGGAACUGACGCUGAGGAGCGAAAGCCAGGGGAGCAAACGGG
This 253-nucleotide ribosomal RNA is filed under the name uncultured bacterium. RNAcentral's name for it is "partial 16S ribosomal RNA". It matches the Rfam family "Bacterial small subunit ribosomal RNA", at positions 524 to 776 of the family's 1533-position model. The record is from RNAcentral.